GGCCGGGGCUGCGGGGGGCUGCCGUCCGCACCUCGGAACGGCGCUCGGGGGGGCCGCUGGUGGUGUUUGCACAGAGUCGCGGAGUCACGGAAUAUCCCGAGUUAAAGGGACCCACGAGUGUCACCGCCAAUCGGGAACAAAACGCCUUAGGGCCAGUGUAGCACGAAGGAGCGGGCGCUGCUUUUUCGCAGCUCCCGGCCCACGGUGGGAUGACUCCGCCCGGCGUCCGUGCCGGGCUCAAGGUGAUGCACUCGUGAAGUCACUGGAGACUGCGCAGUUCAUCUGAGAGGGUCUUUUGGGGGAUCCUUUGUGGACCCCAGGUGGUUGCUGAGCCUCUGAACUUCGGCCGACCCCGCACCGCGAUCCUCCCGUGCGGGGCUGGGUUUAGCUCUGGUUAUGUAAUCUCUGAACAAACUGGACUGGACUGGUUUGACUCGUUACAGAGGCUGUUACAGGAACCCUCCAGGUUCCGCUCUCCGUUAUUCCUUCCUGAGCUAUGUACAGCACGAGGAUCAUCGAGUCCAGCUCUCGGCGAUGCCCCGUGUGCCUCAGAGCUGCCUCUUUUGCCUCAUUGUCCAAAUGCUCCUGAACCCAGACAGGCUUGGUGCUGAAGAAGGAGCCCAGGAGUGUAGUGUGGGUGCCAGAAGGCCGACAAGCAUUUCACCUGAGCAGGCAGAGUGUUUUGUAAACAAUACAAGCGAAGGAUAGCAUGUUGCAUGAAAUCGUCUUCUCAUUUCAAGAGAGGCAACACCACUGGGAUGGAGAAAAGAGUAGUUCCUUCAAAAUGUAAAGGGUUCCUUUAAAGACAUGUUCUCACCUAUGCAUUAGGGAAACAGAAAAAAGGAGGUGGGGGAUCACUUCACAAAUCACGGGCUGUCCUGCAGUGCUCCCAGUAAGCUGAGAGACAGUACCUGAGGGGGCAGUUUAUGGAAAACCUGCAAGUAGUCAAGAUCUGUUCAGCAACUGACAAACCACAGAUAAUGGUCAUCUUCAGAACCAUUAGUGUUAAAUGCCAAAACACCUAGGAGAGAAGUAGCAAGCUUCUUACAUAUUGUGGGGAGUUGGACUUGAUGAUCUCAGAGGUCCUUUCCAACCUGGCUGAUUCUGUGAUUCUGAAUAUUAACCCGUUGAACUUUUUGUUCCAUGGGCUUCCCUCACACCUGAGGGAUCAAGACUGUGACCACCACUUUGAUCAGUGGACAUCUAAAUUGCAACAAUCAAGGCUCAGUGCUGCAUUCACAGGCCUGUGAGACUCAUCACAGUUGGGCCUCCUGGAGACCAUAUAACAAAUGGAACCAAAUUGCAUCAGAAGAGUGGACAGAAGACUUACCCACAGAUCUUCACAACUAUUUCAAUGAAUUACCUUCCACAGCCGAGCCAUCAAAUAUAAGAAUUGUAUAUAUGCACCCAGCAGAACGUGAUGCACUCCAUUGCAUCCAUCAUAUGUCUUCAUGGAAACAAUGUGAUGCUGCACUGAGCAAACACUGCUCAUCAGCAUUGAACCAGUCAACGAAGGAUGGAGUCAUCCAUUUGCAAGUAGUAGUAUUUUCACAAAAUAACUGUCCUGUGUGCCUCGAUGUCUUUCUGGGGAGAUUUACAAAAAAAAUUACCUUCAAAACCAAAACUGGGAGCAAACAUUCACACAAGGGGACUAAAAAUCCCUAACUGAAUUUUAAAAAAAUACUGGAUUUUGAUGUAUAAUUAUAAAAUUGUUUUGGUUGGAAAAGACCUUUAAGAUCAUGAAGUCUAACCAUUUAACCCAGCAUGGCCAAGUCCACCAUUAAACCAUGUCCCUCUGUGUCACAUCUCUGCAUCUCUUAGAUGAAUCCAACCAUAGUGAUUCCACCACUUCUGGGGGCAGGUUGUUCCAGUGCUUAACUACCAUUUUAGUGAAGAAAUUUUUUGUAGUAUGUUUCUCUCUAUAUGCAUAAUCUAAAAUUUCACUGCAAAUGUUCACUACUGGCACUCACUUUUACUCUGUCCCUUGCUAAUAUUUGCCACACUCUUAGUGCAGAGCACGUUUUUUUGCCUAGUUUUUUAAUGAUGGUUUGUACAAUUCAGUUAAAUUUAGAGCAAGUGUUCUUACCUUGACAUGUGCUAUUUGUUUGAUUUCUCAAAAGAUUUUAAUCUGGUUUGAUUUAUCCCUCAACUUUCUGUUACUUUCUAUUAUGCAAUAAUAGAAAUUCGUACAUGAAUACCUGUUAGUGUUACUGUGACUGAACAUUCUUGUGGACAUAUGUGCCUAGAUGAAGAUUCUUAAGGCUUUCCCAUGUGCCAGACUUAACUAGACUAAUUCAUGUAAUGAAAUUCUAUAGUCUGCAGUCUAAAAAUAAUUGUUUUCAGUCUGUUUAUGUUUAUUAACAUUUUUGGAGCAGUCAGCCUGAGCACUCUUCCAUAGUCUGGAGCCAACACAAAGCAGUUAGACAACAUAUAUUUCUAGUAUACAGUUAAUAUGCAGAAUAAAGAAUGUAUUGUAAAUCUUGGUAAGAUUUAAGAGAGCUCAUUAACUUACAGAGAUUCUCAGUACCUACAUGUUAAAUCUUUUCUUUCCUUCUUAACUCGGAAAGGAAACAUACAUAGCAUUUAGGUUCAAUUACAUAAAGCAGGUAGUUAAUGAUCACCUCAACCUCCAAGUGAUAGUGUUUAGUGGUCAUUAUAAUUUCAGGACAGUUUCCUUCAUUCUUUUCUGUGGCUUACCUGUGCCUUUUAAACAUCUUGAAUGUUUCCAUGUACUGUAUACUUUUAAAAUCAAAAUUAACGUGAACAUGUCACAGGUAAGUGGAUGGUUCUAAAAUGUAUUUUCUCUCAAUCUUCCACAAACGUAUUUUUGGAAUGUACUGAGCAAUGACUGACAAGACUUCACUGUGCUGUUUCAGAUCCAACAUAUGAAUUUGUAAUCUGGGAACACAUCUCAUGAUAUGGAGUUCAUUAGUUUACUCUUUUAUACUGUUUUCUGUACCCUGCAGGUCCUACAAUACAGAUGGCUAUAAAGCAAUCUAUCAUAUUUUAAACAAACUCAAACAAUCUUCAUUCAAAUGUUUCACUGUGGAAAACAUAUUCCUGUCUGAGCAGAGUUAGGAUUUCACUUUUUUUUUUUGGUGAAAGUUUCAAUUUAACUCUCUUCUACAUUGAUAAAAAAUUAUAUAAUCAUAUGAUAAUUGGGAAUAAUAAUAAAAAAAUAAAUAAUACCCCAUGGAAAUUAAAUCAGUAUUGACAAAUAUAGGAAAGUCAACUCAAACCGUUCUGUCUUGACUUUUUAAUGAACCAAGUGAAUCUAAAAUAAGCCAACCAGCCUAUCAGCAAAGACAUUGCAGAAAGAAGACUGUUUGAAAAAUACUGAGGUAAAUGUUUCCUAUUAAUUUUUGAUCUAGAGUGGAUUUACUUCCAUUAAGAAAGCAAAAUAAUGUAUAAGUUCCUGCUAUUAGGAGAUGUUUAGAAUUAACCCCCAGAAAAAAAAGCUUACCAUGCAAGGAAGUCUUAACUGCUCGCAGAAAUCAUCAGUCUUUGCAACAGGAUAGUAUCCAAACACCUUGGGUUUUAAGAGAUUGUUGUUUUGUACUGUAGCACAAUUGAGUAAGGUGAUUCCUGAAGUUUUUUCACCUAUGUUUGCAGAGAAUCCAAAGGUACGAUUUUUGGUCAUGCAGGUAGAAAAUAAAUCUUUCUUUCUUUGUAGACAACUUGUGAAUCAGAGGAGACAAGGAACAUGGAUUUUCCAAAUAGUAACCUUCGUGUGCAUCCUGUGUGGGAAGAGGGAAUGCCAGCCAGGGAUUUAGAUUGCAGCUGUAGUUUGUCAGCUGGGGGGCUGAAGCUAUUGCUGCCUCUGUCUUAGCGUGUUGUGCUCACCUUCUCACCAUCUCACACACAGUGUCUGCACAGCAGCUGGUUGUGAAUGGUGUCAGGACUGCUGCAGGGUACAUGCACAUGAGCAGGCAUUCAUGCAUACUGGAGCACAUACUGGAGCAGUUUGGGGCCAGCAACUGCAUCGCUGCUGCUAAGUCCUGACAAAUGACUCUUUGUUUAGCUAGACACAGAGAAAUGUAACAGGAAGAUGUAGGUUGGUAUUGAUGGGAGUGUCUGCUUGUGAAAGUACCAGGACAAACAAGAAACAGCAGCAGAGGAGGUGGAGACAUGGAAUGUGCUGAUGACCCCUUUCUUAGAAGAUCAUCAAGAUCCCAUGAAAUCUGUGUCCAUCAUUGCAGGACACCCAGAUUGUGAGUCAAAGGACAGUUGGUAAAUCCCAGUGAGUAAGAGAGGUGGGACAGGGUGAUUAUAAUCUUCUAAGAGGUAAAACCAGUACAACCAAAGCUAGCAUUUCAGCAGUCACCUAAAAAUGGACCUAGGAGAAAUGCUGAGGAUUGAUAGUCUACAUGCCUUGUCCUUUGCACUGUCAACGAAAUCUGAGUGCUGCAAAGACACUCGGCAGCACACUAAGUGGCACCUGGUGCUUGACAGAUGACAGACCUCUUGGACACACACUUCUUGGUGCUUCUGAGUAUGUGGAUAUUGACAGUGUGGGUGAAAUCAAUUUUAUUUUAAAAUAAAAA
Long non-coding RNA from Chiroxiphia lanceolata (lance-tailed manakin), 4544 nucleotides. RefSeq lists it as uncharacterized. NCBI's taxonomy places the organism in Eukaryota, Metazoa, Chordata, Aves, Passeriformes, Pipridae. The transcript has 2 exons. The record is from RefSeq and is a predicted model, not a curated record.